CUGGGAGGACCAUCUCCUAAGGCUAAAUACUCUCUAGUGACCGAUAGUGAACCAGUACCGUGAGGGAAAGGUGAAAAGCACCCCGGAAGGGGAGUGAAAUAGAACCUGAAACCGUGUGCUUACAAGUAGUCAGAGCCCGUUAAUGGGUGAUGGCGUGCCUUUUGUAGAAUGAACCGGCGAGUUACGAUUUGAUGCAAGGUUAAGCAGUAAAUGUGGAGCCGUAGCGAAAGCGAGUCUGAAUAGGGCGUUUAGUAUUUGGUCGUAGACCCGAAACCAGGUGAUCUACCCUUGGUCAGGUUGAAGUUCAGGUAACACUGAAUGGAGGACCGAACCGACUUACGUUGAAAAGUGAGCGGAUGAACUGAGGGUAGCGGAGAAAUUCCAAUCGAACCUGGAGAUAGCUGGUUCUCUCCGAAAUAGCUUUAGGGCUAGCCUCAAGUGAUGAUUAUUGGAGGUAGAGCACUGUUUGGACGAGGGGCCCCUCUCGGGUUACCGAAUUCAGACAAACUCCGAAUGCCAAUUAAUUUAACUUGGGAGUCAGAACAUGGGUGAUAAGGUCCGUGUUCGAAAGGGAAACAGCCCAGACCACCAGCUAAGGUCCCAAAAUAUAUGUUAAGUGGAAAAGGAUGUGGCGUUGCCCAGACAACUAGGAUGUUGGCUUAGAAGCAGCCAUCAUUUAAAGAGUGCGUAAUAGCUCACUAGUCGAGUGACACUGCGCCGAAAAUGUACCGGGGCUAAACAUAUUACCGAAGCUGUGGAUUGUCCUUUGGACAAUGGUAGGAGAGCGUUCUAAGGGCGUUGAAGCAUGAUCGUAAGGACAUGUGGAGCGCUUAGAAGUGAGAAUGCCGGUGUGAGUAGCGAAAGACGGGUGAGAAUCCCGUCCACCGAUUGACUAAGGUUUCCAGAGGAAGGCUCGUCCGCUCUGGGUUAGUCGGGUCCUAAGCUGAGGCCGACAGGCGUAGGCGAUGGAUAACAGGUUGAUAUUCCUGUACCACCUAUAAUCGUUUUAAUCGAUGGGGGGACGCAGUAGGAUAGGCGAAGCGUGCGAUUGGAUUGCACGUCUAA
RNAcentral lists this ribosomal RNA (1065 nucleotides) under Staphylococcus aureus. RNAcentral describes it as "partial 23S ribosomal RNA". It matches the Rfam family "Bacterial large subunit ribosomal RNA", at positions 444 to 1515 of the family's 2925-position model. Lineage: Bacteria; Bacillati; Bacillota; Bacilli; Caryophanales; Staphylococcaceae. The record is from RNAcentral.